CCUCCCUUGUACCCCACCACCCACCAGAGGUAGUGGGAAAGAAAGGGGUAGCGGGUAGUGGGAGAAGUAGACCUGUUUAGAAAGGUUCUUUGGAGCAACUCCCGUCUGUGUUGUCUGGACAUCAGCGGUUCAGUUCACAGGUUAGCAGGCAGAGACAGACCAAUCCACUCGCAAAACUUCAGGGAUACAUGAACAGCCCAGUUCAGUAGAGUCCGUUUCACAACAGCGGUGAGGUAACACGACUUAGCAGAGACAGUCAAGCCUCAGCCUCAGCUUGAGUCAGCAGGAGGGACCUAGAAGGAUACCAGGAGAAGUUCUUGGUUUUGCCUCUCUAGGGAAGCAAUGAUCAGCAAAGAGGCAAGACCCACAAGCCUUGCACAGUUAUCUGUACCAGCAAGCCAAGCUCUGUCUCCAUCACUCUGUGGAGUCCUAUUUAUACCCUCCAAACAUCACGUGUCCUCCAUGUGCCUUGCCUCAGCACGUGCAACCAAGCAGCCCAAGUCUGCAGAGUCCCGACAACCGCAGCUCAACUACACAACGUAAGGUGGACCAAUGCGUGCAUGUCACUAGCAAAGAAUCCUUCAUCACGUGUCCUUUCAUGUGCUUGUUUUAACAGAACAUCCUCUCUCCUGUGUCUGCUUCCAGAAAAACGUUCCUUCGUGAGUCCGCCUUAGCCUUUCACACCUGUGUCCACUUUAGCAGAACAUUCCUUCAUGUGUUCACCCCAGCAAAAGACAUUCCAACGGACUUUCCAAAGAAUCCUUAAAGUUUCUACUUCAAGGGGGACCAGCAAAAAUCAGAAAACAUACUGACAGGGAAGGGCCAGUGAGAUGGCUCAUCGUGAGUCAAAGCACCUGCAGCCAAGCCUGAAGACCCGCAGACCCACAGAGAGAAGUCAAGAAUCCACUCCCACUAGUUGUCAGUUUUCAUCCUUUAAUACUGGCACGACAGGGAACUAGGGGGACAUAAUUGGCCCAGUCUUACCCAGCCACUAUGUGGCGGGACUGACGUUAAGUCCAGACAGCUGAUUCUUGUCAUGCUCUCCUAGACUCCCUCUAAAACAGCAUGGUGCACUUGUCUGCUGCUUCAAAGGGUCCCCGGCCUCAAGUGCAAUUUCAGCACUUGUGUGUGUGUGAAGGCAUAGCAGGAGAACUGAAAGCAGGCUAGCCUGGGCAACAUAAUGAGACACUAUCUCCAAAAGCAACAAAGGCACAAAGCAGACUUGUUACCACGUUGUGGAAUGUGGACAGGCUCAAUCCCCACCCCAUGUACCCCAUAGGGUCCUUCUUUCUCUUUCUCUCUCCCUCUCCCCUUUCCUUUUCUCCAUCCCUCCCCUUCCCUAGUACCGGGGCUUGAACUCAGGGCUUUAUGCAUGCUAGGAAUGAAGUGGAAACUUUAAGGGUUCUUUGGAAAGUCAGUUGUGUUGGGUGGUGUUUUGCUGGGGCAAACACGUAAAGGAACGUUUAGCUGAAGCAGACACAGGAGAAAGGAUGUUCUGCUAAAGCAAACACACGAAAGGACACAUGAUGAAGAAUUCUUUGUUAACAACACACGUGUAUGUAUUUGUCUGUCUUAUAUUGCAUAGUUGAGCCCCAUUUGUCAGGACUGCAUGGACUCAGGCUGAUUGGAUGCCGAGGCAAGGCUCAUGCUGAGGUAAGGCCUGUGGAGGACACGUGACGCUUGGAGGGUAUAAAUAGCACUCCACAAAGUGACAGAGACAGAGCUUGGCUUGCUGGUACAGCCAGCUGUGCAAUGCUUGUGGGUCUUGCCUCUUUGCUGAUCAUUGCUUCCCUGAGAGAAGCACAACCAAGAACUUCCCCUGGUGUCCCUCUGGGUCCCUCCUGCUGACUCGAGCUGAGGCUGAGGCCUGCCUGUCUCUGCUAGGUCAUGUCACCCCUAUUGUGAACCUGACUCUACUGAACUGGACUGCUAGUUCAUCCGUGAACUGUUUUCGAAUGGAUCAAGGUGCCACUGCUAACUCGUGAACUGAACUAUUGAUGUGUAGAUAGCAUAGACAGGAGUUGCUCCAAAGAACCUUUCUAAACAGGUCCACUUCCCCAGUACCCUUUCCUUCCUCUGAUGGGUGGUGGAGGAAAGGGAGGUUAAAGUGUUUAAGAACCAUCAUUAAAAGUAGGAUUUGAGGGGUUGGGGAUUUAGCUCAGUGGUAGAGCGCUUGCCUAGGAAGCGCAAGGCCCUGGGUUCGGUCCCCAGCUCCGAAAAAAGAGAACCAAAAAAAAAAAAAAAAAAGUAGGAUUUGAAAAAGUUAAAGUUACAUAGGGAAGUGUUCUAUUGUCAAGCUACACCCCAAGCUCUCCAAAGGGUUUCUAUUCUUUCCUCCUUCCUGCCUAUGUCCACCUCCCUCUCUUCUUCCUGCCUCUCUCUCUUUAAAAGAGAUUCAUUCUAUGUAAAAUACGUACAUGUUUAUGUGUCUGAGUGUUUGUAUAUAUACUAUGUGUGUGUAAUGCUCUUGGAGGCCAGAAGGGGGAGUCAGAUCCCUCGGAACUGGUGUUACAGGCAGUUAACUGCCUGCUGUGUGCUGGGAACCAAACUUUGGUCCUCAGUGAGAGCAGCACGUACUCUGGCCCGCUGAGCUAUCUUUCCAGUCUUUCUUUGGAAAGAACUUGUAAUCUUGCCACAGCCUCCUGAUUCCAAGCCUGUGCCACCACAUCUGACCUUCCAAAGGUCUGUGUAUGUGUGCGUUUGUAACAUGUAUAUAUGUGUGGUAUAUGUGUGUGUUUAGGUGGGCAGUACCUGUGCAUGUGUAUGAAGGCCAAAAGACAUUUGGAGCUCCCUGUCUUAUUCCCUUGAGAUAAGGUCUCUUGCUGAAUUUGGAGCUAGUGGCCAGAGAACACUCAAGACACUCCUGUUUACAGUCCCCCCCAGGAUGUGACUAAAGUUACACACUACUCCCUAGCACUGGGGUUAGAGGCAGGCUUGGCUUUUCACGUGGGUGCCAAGGAUUAAACUUAAGUCUUCACGCUUAUUCAGUUUGUGCUCUUACCCACUGAGACAUUUCUGCAACCUGUUAAAGAGCUUCAAAAUAUAUACAAAGUGGUCUGUGCCUUUAAUCCCAGCUCUUUGGAGGCAAAGGUAGGCAGAUCUCUGUGAAUUCUGGGUAGCCUGGUCUACAUAGAAAGUUCCUGUACAGUCAGGGCUACAUAACAGAGAGACCUUGCCUCAAAAGACAAGCCAGAAAGAAUAGUGUGUGUGCACAAUGUGUGUGUGCAGAGGUUGGAGGACAACUAUUGGGAGCUGGCUUUCUCCUUUCCCCGUGUAGGUUCUGGGGUAGAACUCAGGUCACCAGGCUUAGUGGCAAGUGUUGUUAUCCACUGAGCGGACAUGAGUGACCAGUGAGGGGGCUGUUACUCUGGGGUAAGAUGACAUAGGGGCAUAGGGACACAACAUCUAGUGAGGACAGACCAGUGGCCAACUGUGCUUUCCGUCUGUUUCCUGGCCCAACUCUUUGUUUCCUGGCUUCUGGGCCAGCUCUCAAUUUUAGUAUAUGUGCUGUCGAAGUGAGCACCUGGGCCAGCUCUCAAACCCAGUCACCCACAGAUGCUGAUCCCUGUUCCCACACCAGGCCUGCAUUAGAGCUGGAAACCCUGUCUCAGGUACUCUGUGCUGUGAAGAGUCAGGGCAUGGGUAUCAGGCUAGGCCUACAAGGCUGUUACUAUGUGACAAGGGUGGGGCAUUGGAGAAGGGGUGGCGGCCCAGCCCAGCCAGCCUGCAUGAUUUGGGGGUGGGUGAAGCUGGAAUGUGGGUCUGGUUUUGCUUUCAUUGUUCUGUGGCAGGCCUGGCAGAAGUGAAGUCCAUGAGCAGUGGGCUUUUCAGGCAGAGGGGCAGCACAGCCAGAGGCGUGGCUGGGGACAACAUGAGGCGCCAUUGGUGAGCAGUGGAGAUGAUCUUUCCUCUGGAUGCUCUCCCUACAGAAUGCUGCGGCCAAGCCAAGGACUUUCCAUGCUGUCAUGGCUGUGGUAACCUUUGUGAGUAGACUGUGUUUAGGCCUUCCACAGCCUGGAUUGAGAUGUUAAGUCUGGGGGACAGAGGGGUGCUGAUGAAUACCGGUGUGCUGCUGGCUGUCGUUCUGGGCAGGAGAGGCUGAGCCUGACCCCGUGUGCAGGUCUAGAUGACGCUGCAGUAUUUCCAAUUACUGUGAGUGGCUUGGUUGGGGAAACCAUCCAACAGAAGAAAUGGGGAUGGGGGGGGGUGCUGGAGAGAUGGCUCAGCGGUUAAGAGCUCUGGUGGCUUUUCCAGAGGACCUGGGUUCAAUUCCCAGCACCCACAUCGUAGCUCACAACAAUCUGUAGCUCCAAUUCCAGCAGAUUUGGUACCUUCACAGACGUACAUACAGGCAAAACAUCAGUGCACAUAAAAUAAAAAUAAGUCUUUGAAAUAAAGAAAUGUGAGGCUCUAUGAUGGGGGCUGAGGGGUCUGUUCUAGGCAUCUUUCUUGUUUCAAACUGAUUUCUUCGUUAGAGACAAAUGCUACUACUGUUGAUUUUAUGUGAUUGUGGACAAAGAAAUCCAAACAUGGAGGAAGCUAAGUCUUUUGUUAAUUAAUUAAUUAUAAGUACACUAACUGUCUGCAGACACACCAGAAGAGGGCAUCAGAUCUCAUCACAGAUGGUUGUGAGCCACCAUGUGGUUGCUGGGAAUUGAACUCAGGACCUCUGGAAGAGCAGUCGGUGCUCUUAAUCACUGAGCCAUCUCUCCAGCCUGGAAGCUAAGUCUUUAUGAUUCUGUUUCCUAGUCAUAAUUCAUCAUCACUGUUGACCUCACCCCUUCUAAGAUGCUUCCUCUCUGCAGGCUCAUUCAGUCUCCUGCAGGCAUGGUCAUGCUCAAGGGAAAGGGGGUCCUAGCCCUGCCCUUGGCUGUCCUGUGCCACUCUCAUUUAGGGUUUACCUGGACUAAGGUGUGAUUCAUGUCCUAGCUCCCUCUCCCUCUGCUUCUUCCUUAGCCAGAAGGUACCUGGACUAGAAGGUUCUGUUCCCUGUGCAGCCAGUGUCCAAGGUGGCUCCAGGACAGUUCCUCUAGGGUCCCUUCAGCAUUGGACUGCACCUAGCUCCUCUAGGAACACUCAAGCAGCCCUGGGGAGGAAGUGCAUGGAUGGUCCCAGAGUCCUUAGCCACAGCCCACACCUGUCUGCCUGCCAUGGCUCUGAGUUGCUUUAGAAAUAUACAGUUCAACUCCAGCUCAUGCCCGGCUCAACUGCAGCUGCUCUAUGCCAGCCUGUGCCAGUCUGUGCCAGUCCAUGCAUCUCAGACCUGAUUCAUCCUGUGCACUUCGUGGCGGUGGAGGGCGGGUCAGAGAUGACUCAGUGCGAAGCCUGCUGGGAGAGGAGUCCUUUACCACAACCCUGCUGGUUUGUUAGCAUCCCAGCUGGUGAAAUGGCCCAACCUGGAAAAAUGCCUGCUGCUAAGAUGACCCCAGUUUGACUGAUGACCUGGAACUACAAUGUAGAAGUUUCUUACUGUGUUAGGUUUUCCUGCCCAGCCCUGAGGGACAAAGCCCAGGAAGAGCUAUUUCUCUCUGGAAGCAUGCAUUCUCCCCCAAGCCCACCAACUGCAAGCAGAUGGACUACUCUUCCCCUGGCUUCAGUAUUUGGUUGUGGAUGCACGAGAGUUGUGCCACUGCUGCUGAUUCGUGUUUGCUAUCCUGACUGCUGGUGUAACUGGGAGGUGUUUGUGAGCGGAUCAAGCUGCCGCUGCCUGCUGACCUGUGAACUGAACUGCUGACUUCCAGACGACACAGAUGGGAGUUCCUCCGAAGAGCCUUUCUAAAUAGGUCCACUUGCCACCCCACACCCACCCUGUAUUCUUUCUUUCCCGCUACCUCUGGUGUGUGGUGGGUUAAAAGGGAGGUUAAAGUGUCUAAGAACUAUCAUUAAAAGUAGCAUUUGGAGGGGUUGGGGAUUUAGCUCAGCGGUAGAGCGCUUGCCUAGCGAGCGCAAGGCCCUGGGUUCGGUCCCCAGCUCCGGAAAAAAAAAGAAAAAAAAAAGUAGCAUUUGGAAAAAUUAACGUUACAUAUCCCUGAGGUCACUGCGUGCAUCUUUAAUCCCAGGGUUUAGAAGACAGAAGUAGUCAGUGAGGCAGUACUCAGAUGUGAAGCCAGCCUGGUCCACAUUCCACUCAGUCAGGGCUUACAAAGUGAAACCCCAGCUCAAACAAACUCCAAAUCAAGAUUAAAGUUAAACAAUCAUCACAAUAAAACCCAAACUGGCAAGAAGGCAUCGUGGCUUAUACCUAUCUGACAUCAUGAAGCUGGCCGGCCACCAAGCCUCCCACAUCCAGUGCAUGUACGGUCUCUCUUCUGUGGGAGCUGAAGCCGCAGUCUCAGUGGGAGGGGGAGCAGAACGCUCCCAGGGGACAGAGGGGACUGUGUGAAACUUUAGCGUCUUCAUAGGUCCAAAGCCAUCUUGGAGUCUCAAAGCAUCCUCCUGAUGCUUUGAAAAACGAGCAAACAACCACCAAGAGAAAUGGUUUUAAGGGCUGGAGAGAUGGCUCAGUGGUUAAGAGCACCGACUGUUCUUCCAGAGGUCCUGGGUUCAAUUCCCAACAACCACAUGGUGGCUCACAACCAUCUGUAAUGGGAUCUGAUGCCCUCUUCUGGUGUGUCUGAAGACAGCUACAGUGUACUAAAUAAAUAUAAUAAAUAAAAUAUAAAAAA
Molecule: non-coding RNA, 6665 nt
Organism: Rattus norvegicus (Norway rat)
Lineage: Eukaryota; Metazoa; Chordata; Mammalia; Rodentia; Muridae
Source: RefSeq, a predicted model, not a curated record